RNAcentral lists this non-coding RNA (67 nucleotides) under Pseudonocardia sp. The record is from RNAcentral. RNAcentral also lists the same sequence under 1 other name. Lineage: Bacteria; Bacillati; Actinomycetota; Actinomycetes; Pseudonocardiales; Pseudonocardiaceae.
CCGGACCGCCGCACGGCGGGCUCCCCGGACGAGACGCGCCGUACCCGGAUCGCCAAGACGACGCAGC